This 686-nucleotide ribosomal RNA is filed under the name bacterium 24-L049658-122-015-H03. RNAcentral describes it as "bacterial SSU rRNA". It matches the Rfam family "Bacterial small subunit ribosomal RNA", at positions 67 to 763 of the family's 1533-position model. The record is from RNAcentral.
CGAUGACCUGCGUGCUUGCACUGGUGAUUAGUGGCGAACGGGUGAGUAACACGUGAGUAACCUGCCCUUAACUCUGGGAUAAGCCUGGGAAACUGGGUCUAAUACCGGAUAUGACUCCUCAUCGCAUGGUGGGGGGUGGAAAGCUUUUUUGUGGUUUUGGAUGGACUCGCGGCCUAUCAGCUUGUUGGUGAGGUAAUGGCUCACCAAGGCGACGACGGGUAGCCGGCCUGAGAGGGUGACCGGCCACACUGGGACUGAGACACGGCCCAUACUCCUACGGGAGGCAGCAGUGGGGAAUAUUGCACAAUGGGCGCAAGCCUGAUGCAGCGACGCCGCGUGAGGGAUGACGGCCUUCGGGUUGUAAACCUCUUUCAGUAGGGAAGAAGCGUAAGUGACGGUACCUGCAGAAGAAGCGCCGGCUAACUACGUGCCAGCAGCCGCGGUAAUACGUACGGCGCAAGCGUUAUCCGGAAUUAUUGGGCGUAAAGAGCUCGUAGGCGGUUUGUCGCGUCUGCCGUGAAAGUCCGGGGCUCAACUCCGGAUCUGCGGUGGGUACGGGCAGACUAUAGUGAUGUAGGGGAGACUGUAAUUCCUGGUGUAGCGGUGAGAUGCGCAAAUAUCAGGAGGAACACCGAUGGCGAAAGCAGGUCUCUGGGCAUUAACUGACGCUGAGGAGCGAAAGCAUG